GAUGAACGCUGGCGGCGUGCCUAAUACAUGCAAGUCGAGCGAACGGACGAGAAGCUUGCUUCUCUGAUGUUAGCGGCGGACGGGUGAGUAACACGUGGAUAACCUACCUAUAAGACUGGGAUAACUUCGGGAAACCGGAGCUAAUACCGGAUAAUAUUUUGAACCGCAUGGUUCAAAAGUGAAAGACGGCCUUGCUGUCACUUAUAGAUGGAUCCGCGCUGCAUUAGCUAGUUGGUAAGGUAACGGCUUACCAAGGCAACGAUGCAUAGCCGACCUGAGAGGGUGAUCGGCCACACUGGAACUGAGACACGGUCCAGACUCCUACGGGAGGCAGCAGUAGGGAAUCUUCCGCAAUGGGCGAAAGCCUGACGGAGCAACGCCGCGUGAGUGAUGAAGGUCUUCGGAUCGUAAAACUCUGUUAUUAGGGAAGAACAUAUGUGUAAGUAACUGUGCACAUCUUGACGGUACCUAAUCAGAAAGCCACGGCUAACUACGUGCCAGCAGCCGCGGUAAUACGUAGGUGGCAAGCGUUAUCCGGAAUUAUUGGGCGUAAAGCGCGCGUAGGCGGUUUUUUAGUCUGAUGUGAAAGCCCACGGCUCAAUCGUGGAGGGUCAUUGGAAACUGGAAAACUUGAAUGCAGAAGAGGAAAGUGGAAUUCCAUGUGUAGCGGUGAAAUGCGCAGAGAUAUGGAGGAACACCAGUGGCGAAGGCGACUUUCUGGUCUGUAACUGACGCUGAUGUGCGAAAGCGUGGGGAUCAAACAGGAUUAGAUACCCUGGUAGUCCACGCCGUAAACGAUGAGUGCUAAGUGUUAGGGGGUUUCCGCCCCUUAGUGCUGCAGCUAACGCAUUAAGCACUCCGCCUGGGGAGUACGACCGCAAGGUUGAAACUCAAAGGAAUUGACGGGGACCCGCACAAGCGGUGGAGCAUGUGGUUUAAUUCGAAGCAACGCGAAGAACCUUACCAAAUCUUGACAUCCUUUGACAACUCUAGAGAUAGAGCUUUCCCCUUCGGGGGACAAAGUGACAGGUGGUGCAUGGUUGUCGUCAGCUCGUGUCGUGAGAUGUUGGGUUAAGUCCCGCAACGAGCGCAACCCUUAAGCUUAGUUGCCAUCAUUAAGUUGGGCACUCUAAGUUGACUGCCGGUGACAAACCGGAGGAAGGUGGGGAUGACGUCAAAUCAUCAUGCCCCUUAUGAUUUGGGCUACACACGUGCUACAAUGGACAAUACAACGGGCAGCGAAACCGCGAGGUCAAGCAAAUCCCAUAAAGUUGUUCUCAGUUCGGAUUGUAGUCUGCAACUCGACUACAUGAAGCUGGAAUCGCUAGUAAUCGUAGAUCAGCAUGCUACGGUGAAUACGUUCCCGGGUCU
Molecule: ribosomal RNA, 1371 nt
Filed under: uncultured bacterium
Lineage: Bacteria
Description: bacterial SSU rRNA
Rfam family: Bacterial small subunit ribosomal RNA
Source: RNAcentral